Molecule: long non-coding RNA, 3131 nt
Organism: Bos taurus (domestic cattle)
Lineage: Eukaryota; Metazoa; Chordata; Mammalia; Artiodactyla; Bovidae
Source: Ensembl
CUACUUGCAGUCCAAGGGACUCUGAAGAGUCUUCAACACCACAGUUCAAAAGCAUCAAUUCUUCAGUGCUCAGCUUUCUUUAUGGUCCAACUCUCACAUCUAUUACUACUGAAAAAAACGUCUCUCACUGUUUCCAUUGUUUCCCCAUCAAUUUGCAAUGAGAAAUGCAGUACUUGGAUGCAAUCUCAAAAAUGACAGAAUGAUCACUGUUCAUUUCCAAGGCAAACCAUUCAAUACCAUGGUAAUCCAAGCCUAUACUCCAACCAGUAAAGAAGCUGGAAUGGAACGGUUCUAUGAAGACCUACAAGGCCUUUUAGAACUAACACCCAAAAAAGAUGUCCUUUUCAUUAUAGGGGACUGAAAUGCAAAAGUAGAAAGUCAAGAAAUACCUGGAAUAACAGUCAAAUUUGGCCUUGAAGUAUAGAAUGAAGCAGGGCAAAGGUUAAUAGAGCUUUGCAAAGAGAACACACUGGUCAUAGCAAACACCCUCUUCCAACAACACAGAAGAAGACUCCACACAUGGACAUCACCAGAUGGUCAACACCGAAAUCAUAUUGAUUAUAUUCUUUGCAGCCAAAGAUGGAGAAGCUCUAUACAGGUAGCAAAAACAAGACUUGGAGCUGACUGUGGCUCAGAUCAUGAACUCCUUAAUUCCAAAUAAAGAUUUAAAUUGAAGAAAGUAGGGAAAACCAAUAGACCAUUCACGUAUGACCUAAAUCAAAUCCCUUAUGAUUAUACAGUGGAAGUGAGAAAUAGAUUUAAGAGACUAGAUCUGAUAGAUGGAGGGCCUGAUGAACUAUGGAUGGAGGUUCGUGACAUUGUACAUGAGACAGGGAUCAAGACCAUUCCCAUGGAAAAGAAAUGCAAAAAAGCAAAAUGGCUGUCUGGGGAGGCCUUACAAACAGCUGUGAAAAGAAGAGAAGUGAAAAGCAAAGGAGAAAAGGAAAGAUAUAAGCAUCUGAAUGCAGAAUUCCAAAGUAUAGCAAGGAGAGAUAAGAAAGCCUUCCUCAGCGAUCAAUGCAAAGAAAUAGAGGGAAACAACAGAAUGGGAAAGACUAGAGAUCUCUUCAAAAAAAUUAGAGAUACCAAGGGAACAUUUCAUGCAAAGAUGAGCUUGACGAAGGACAGAAAUGGUAUGGACCUAACAGAAGCAGAAGAUACUAAGAAGAGGUGGCAAGAAUACACAGAGAAACUGUACAAAAAAGAUCUUCACAACCCAAAUAAUCACAAUGGUGUGAUCACUGACCUAGAGCCAGACAUCCUGGAAUGUGAAGUGAAGUCGGCCUUAGAAAGCAUCACUAUGAACAAAGCUAGUGGAGAUGAUGGAAUUCCAGUUGAGCUAUUUCCAAUCCUGAAGGAUGAUGCUGUGAAAGUGCUGCACUCAAUAUGCCAGCAAAUUUGGAAAACUCAGCAGUGGCCACAAGACUGGAAAAGCUCAGUUUUCAUUCCAAUCCCAAAGAAGACAAUGCCAAAGAAUGCUCAAACUACCGCACAAUUGCACUCAUCUCACACACUAGUAAAGUAAUGCUCAAAAUCUCCAAGCCAGGCUUCAGCAGUAUGUGAACCAUGAACUUUCAGAUGUUCAAGCUGGUUUUAAAAAAGGCAGAAGAACCAGAGAUCAAAUUGCCAACAUCCACUGGAUCACUGAAAAAACAAGAGAGUUCCAGAAAAACAUCAACUUCUGCUUUAUUGAUAUGCCAAAGCCUUUGACUAUGUGGAUCACAAUAAACUGUGGAAAAUUCUGAAAGAGAUAGGAAUACCAGACCACCUGACCUGCCUCUUGAGAAACCUAUAUGCAGGUCAGGAAGCAACAGUUAUAACUGGACAUGGAACAACAUACUGGUUCCAAAUAUGAAAAGAAGUAUGUCAAGGCUGUAUACUGUCACCCUGCUUAUUUAACUUCUAUGCAGAGUACAUCAUGAGAAACACGGGGCUGGAAGAACCACAAGCUGGAAUCAAGAUUGCCAGGAGAAAUAUCAAUAACCUCAGAUAUGCAGAUGACACCACCCUUAUGGCAAAAAGUGAAGAGGAACUAAAAAGCUUCUUGAAGAAAGUAAAAGAGGAGAGUGAAAAAGUUGGCUUAAAACUCAACAUUCAGAAAACCAAGAUCAUGGCAUCUGGUCCCAUCACUUCAUGGGAAAUAGAUGGGGAAACAGUGACAACAGUGUCAGACUUUAUUUUUCUGGGCUCCAAAAUCACUGCAGAUGGUGAUUGCUUACUCCUUGGAAGGAUAGUUAUGACCAGCCUAGAUAGCAUAUUGGAAAGCAGAGGUAUUACCUUGCCAACAAAGGUCCAUCUAGUCAAGGUUAUAUUUUUUCCAGUGGUCAUGUAUGGAUGUGAGAAUUGGACUGUGAAGAAAGCUGAGCGCUGAAGAAUCGAUGCUUUUGAACUGUGGUGUUGGAGAAGACUCUUCAGAAUCCCUUGGACUUCAAGGAGAUCCAAUCAGUCCAUCUAAAGGAGAUCAGUCCUGGGUUUUCAUUGGAAGAACUGGUGCUAAGACUGAAACUCCAAUACUUGGCCACUCAUGAGAAGAGUUGACUCAUUGGAAAAGACCCUGAUGCUGGGAGGGAUUUAGGGCAGGAGGAGAAGGGGAUGACAGACAAUGAGAUCCUGGAUGGCAUCACCGACUCGAUGGACAUGAAUUUGGGUGAACUCCUGGAGUAGUGGUGGGCUGGGGGGCCUGCCGUGCUGGGAUUCAUGGGGUCGCAAAGAGUCAGACACGACUGAGCAAUGGAAUGGAACUCAAGGACCUGACAAGAGCCUAAAGAAGAAAUGAUUGAUUAAAUUAUGUUUGGUUGUGAAACAAUACCUAUGUGUGAUAUUAUUUAAAAAAUAAUAACAACAAUUCUGAAUUAGAGAAUGUUUUGCUUAAUAGCAAGAAAUUUGUAGGCAUUAUAUAUAGUUUUGAACACUAAUGUCCAUCUUUAAACACUGCUCUUUUCUCACAAACCAACUUCUAAAACCUCCUGGUCCACAGUUUCUGCUUAUAAAAUGUGUGGAAUGAUGGAUAUUAAUAUAUGCAUAAACUCCUUAACACAGUACUUGUCCUAAGAAUUUAGUACUAAGAGUUUGCCCUUACACAGAGCACUGCACAUACACACACACAUUUAUGCAUGAAUAAGACAUUGGAG